Molecule: ribosomal RNA, 492 nt
Filed under: uncultured bacterium
Lineage: Bacteria
Description: partial 16S ribosomal RNA
Rfam family: Bacterial small subunit ribosomal RNA
Source: RNAcentral
AGUGAACGCUGGCGGUAGGCCUAACACAUGCAAGUCGAACGGCAGCACAGUAAGAGCUUGCUCUUACGGGUGGCGAGUGGCGGACGGGUGGGGAAUACAUCGGAAUCUACUUUUUCGUGGGGGAUAACGUAGGGAAACUUACGCUAAUACCGCAUACGACCUACGGGUGAAAGCAGGGGAUCUUCGGACCUUGCGCGAUUGAUUGAGCCGAUGUCGGAUUAGCUAGUUGGCGGGGUAAAGGCCCACCAAGGCGACGAUCCGUAGCUGGUCUGAGAGGAUGAUCAGCCACACUGGAACUGAGACACGGUCCAGACUCCUACGGGAGGCAGCAGUGGGGAAUAUUGGACAAUGGGCGCAAGCCUGAUCCAGCCAUACCGCGUGGGUGAAGAAGGCCUUCGGGUUGUAAAGCCCUUUUGUUGGGAAAGAAAAGCAGCAGGUUAAUACCCCGCUGUUCUGACGGUACCCAAAGAAUAAGCACCGGCUAACUUCGUG